RNAcentral lists this transfer RNA (72 nucleotides) under Marisediminitalea aggregata. It matches the Rfam family "tRNA". From Rfam's summary of the family: Transfer RNA (tRNA) molecules are approximately 80 nucleotides in length. Their secondary structure includes four short double-helical elements and three loops (D, anti-codon, and T loops). Further hydrogen bonds mediate the characteristic L-shaped molecular structure. tRNAs have two regions of fundamental functional importance: the anti-codon, which is responsible for specific mRNA codon recognition, and the 3' end, to which the tRNAs corresponding amino acid is attached (by aminoacyl-tRNA synthetases). tRNAs cope with the degeneracy of the genetic code in two manners: having more than one tRNA (with a specific anti-codon) for a particular amino acid; and 'wobble' base-pairing, i.e. permitting non-standard base-pairing at the 3rd anti-codon position. RNAcentral also lists the same sequence under 1 other name. The record is from RNAcentral. Lineage: Bacteria; Pseudomonadati; Pseudomonadota; Gammaproteobacteria; Alteromonadales; Alteromonadaceae.
GCUCCAGUAGCGCAGUUGGCAGCGCAGCCGUUUCGUACGCGGCAGGCGUCGGUUCGAUUCCGACCUGGAGCU